Molecule: transfer RNA, 65 nt
Filed under: Rugilus geniculatus
Lineage: Eukaryota; Metazoa; Arthropoda; Insecta; Coleoptera; Staphylinidae
Also listed under: 10 other names
Description: tRNA-Leu
Rfam family: tRNA
About the family: Transfer RNA (tRNA) molecules are approximately 80 nucleotides in length. Their secondary structure includes four short double-helical elements and three loops (D, anti-codon, and T loops).
Source: RNAcentral
UCUAAUAUGGCAGAUUAGUGCAAUGGAUUUAAACCCCAUAUAUAAAGUUUAAACUUUUUUUAGAA